This 253-nucleotide ribosomal RNA is filed under the name uncultured bacterium. Its description in RNAcentral is "partial 16S ribosomal RNA". It matches the Rfam family "Bacterial small subunit ribosomal RNA", at positions 524 to 776 of the family's 1533-position model. The record is from RNAcentral.
UACGGGGGGGGCAAGCGUUGUUCGGAAUUACUGGGCGUAAAGGGCUCGUAGGUGGCCAACUAAGUCAGACGUGAAAUCCCUCGGCUUAACCGGGGAACUGCGUCUGAUACUGGAUGGCUCGAGUUUGGGAGAGGGAUGCGGAAUUCCAGGUGUAGCGGUGAAAUGCGUAGAUAUCUGGAGGAACACCGGUGGCGAAGGCGGCAUCCUGGACCAACACUGACACUGAGGAGCGAAAGCCAGGGGAGCAGACGGG